AAACCCCAACCAAUGGCGACGAAACUCUCGCACCACCCACCAUCAUGACCAACAUCACUAGUACUCCAAAGAACCCAACCCCAAAACACAAAAUGAAAAACACGACAAUCGUGAACUAUACGCGGUGCAAUAGGGGAGACGAAGCGAUAAAUGUCAUCCAUCCACUACUACGACCAAUAUCACUGGAGAUCCAAAGAACCAAAUCAAAAAUAUAAAUGCAAAGAAUUGUGAGUAAGCAACGCAACGAGGGAGAAGAGAAAGCGAA
RNAcentral lists this long non-coding RNA (265 nucleotides) under Phaseolus vulgaris (common bean). RNAcentral's name for it is "long non-coding RNA (PVUL_LNC004620)". Lineage: Eukaryota; Viridiplantae; Streptophyta; Magnoliopsida; Fabales; Fabaceae. The record is from RNAcentral.